Molecule: long non-coding RNA, 91 nt
Organism: Gopherus evgoodei (Goodes thornscrub tortoise)
Lineage: Eukaryota; Metazoa; Chordata; Testudines; Testudinidae
Exons: 3
Source: RefSeq, a predicted model, not a curated record
AGGGAGAUGGAUCCAUGAUAGCUGAACUCCGUUCCACAAGACGAAAUGCCAAAAUAUUCGAAAAAAUCUCCAAGGGCAUGAAGGACAGAGG